ACACUCCUGCGGGAGGCAGCAGUGGGGAAUAUUGGACAAUGGGCGCAAGCCUGAUCCAGCCAUGCCGCGUGAGUGAUGAAGGCCCUAGGGUUGUAAAGCUCUUUCACCGGUGAAGAUAAUGACGGUAACCGGAGAAGAAGCCCCGGCUAACUUCGUGCCAGCAGCCGCGGUAAUACGAAGGGGGCUAGCGUUGUUCGGAUUUACUGGGCGUAAAGCGCACGUAGGCGGACUAUUAAGUCAGGGGUGAAAUCCCGGGGCUCAACCCCGGAACUGCCUUUGAUACUGGUAGUCUUGAGUUCGAGAGAGGUGAGUGGAAGUCCGAGUGUAGAGGUGAAAUUCGUAGAUAUUCGGAGGAACACCAGUGGCGAAGGCGGCUCACUGGCUCGAUACUGACGCUGAGGUGCGAAAGCGUGGGGAGCAAACAGGAUUAGAAACCCUGGUAGUCCCAUGA
RNAcentral lists this ribosomal RNA (451 nucleotides) under uncultured organism. RNAcentral's name for it is "partial 16S ribosomal RNA". It matches the Rfam family "Bacterial small subunit ribosomal RNA", at positions 333 to 800 of the family's 1533-position model. The record is from RNAcentral.